CUUUCGCCGAUGAUGGUGUUAAAUAUACUUUGAGUGAAUUCAUCAUUAAGAAAAAAACUUAUACAGCUGAGGCUU
Molecule: small nucleolar RNA, 75 nt
Organism: Salvia splendens (bonfire salvia)
Lineage: Eukaryota; Viridiplantae; Streptophyta; Magnoliopsida; Lamiales; Lamiaceae
Source: RefSeq, a predicted model, not a curated record